RNAcentral lists this transfer RNA (20 nucleotides) under Hymenasplenium cardiophyllum. RNAcentral describes it as "partial tRNA-Phe". Lineage: Eukaryota; Viridiplantae; Streptophyta; Polypodiopsida; Polypodiales; Aspleniaceae. The record is from RNAcentral. RNAcentral also lists the same sequence under 5 other names.
GGCCGAGAUAGCUCAGUCGG